Molecule: ribosomal RNA, 494 nt
Filed under: uncultured bacterium
Lineage: Bacteria
Description: bacterial SSU rRNA
Rfam family: Bacterial small subunit ribosomal RNA
Source: RNAcentral
AAAUGAAUUGACGGGGGCCCGCACAAGCGGAGGAACAUGUGGUUUAAUUCGAUGAUACGCGAGGAACCUUACCCGGGUUUGAACGCAGUGGGAAUGGCCCUGAAAGGGGUCAGCUAGCAAUAGUCCGCUGCGAGGUGCUGCAUGGUUGUCGUCAGCUCGUGCCGUGAGGUGUCGGCUUAAGUGCCAUAACGAGCGCAACCCUUAUCGUCAGUUACUAACAGGCAAAGCUGAGGACUCCGGCGAGACUGCCAGCGUAAGCUGUGAGGAAGGUGGGGAUGACGUCAAAUCAGCACGGCCCUUACAUCCGGGGCGACACACGUGUUACAAUGGUGGGGACAGAGGGAAGCCACUCGGCGACGAGGCGCGGAUCCCAAAACCCCAUCUCAGUUCGGAUCGGAGUCUGCAACUCGACUCCGUGAAGCUGGAUUCGCUAGUAAUCGCGCAUCAGCCAUGGCGCGGUGAAUACGUUCCCGGGCCUUGUACACACCGCCCGU